GACGAACGCUGGCGGCGUGCCUAAUAUAUGCAAGUCGAACGCUGAAGGAGGAGCUUGCUUCUCUGGAUGAGUUGCGAACGGGUGAGUAACGCGUAGGUAACCUGCCUGGUAGCGGGGGAUAACUAUUGGAAACGAUAGCUAAUACCGCAUAAUAGUAGAUGUUGCAUGACAUUUGCUUAAAAGGUGCAAUUGCAUCACUACCAGAUGGACCUGCGUUGUAUUAGCUAGUUGGUGGGGUAACGGCUCACCAAGGCGACGAUACAUAGCCGACCUGAGAGGGUGAUCGGCCACACUGGGACUGAGACACGGCCCAGACUCCUACGGGAGGCAGCAGUAGGGAAUCUUCGGCAAUGGACGGAAGUCUGACCGAGCAACGCCGCGUGAGUGAAGAAGGUUUUCGGAUCGUAAAGCUCUGUUGUAAGAGAAGAACGAGUGUGAGAGUGGAAAGUUCACACUGUGACGGUAGCUUACCAGAAAGGGACGGCUAACUACGUG
This 495-nucleotide ribosomal RNA is filed under the name uncultured bacterium. RNAcentral's name for it is "partial 16S ribosomal RNA". It matches the Rfam family "Bacterial small subunit ribosomal RNA", at positions 28 to 507 of the family's 1533-position model. The record is from RNAcentral.